AUUGAACGCUGGCGGCAGGCCUAACACAUGCAAGUCGAGCGGCAGCGGGAAAGUAGCUUGCUACUUUUGCCGGCGAGCGGCGGACGGGUGAGUAAUGCCUGGGAAAUUGCCCAGUCGAGGGGGAUAACAGUUGGAAACGACUGCUAAUACCGCAUACGCCCUACGGGGGAAAGCAGGGGACCUUCGGGCCUUGCGCGAUUGGAUAUGCCCAGGUGGGAUUAGCUAGUUGGUGAGGUAAUGGCUCACCAAGGCGACGAUCCCUAGCUGGUCUGGGAGGAUGAUCAGCCAAACUGGAACUGAGACACGGUCCAGACUCCUACGGGAGGCAGCAGUGGGGAAUAUUGCACAAUGGGGGAAACCCUGAUGCAGCCAUGCCGCGUGUGUGAAGAAGGCCUUCGGGUUGUAAAGCACUUUCAGCGAGGAGGAAAGGUUGAUGCCUAAUACGUAUCAACUGUGACGUUACUCGCAGAAGAAGCACCGGCUAACUCCGUGCCAGCAGCCGCCGUAA
Molecule: ribosomal RNA, 508 nt
Filed under: uncultured bacterium
Lineage: Bacteria
Description: partial 16S ribosomal RNA
Rfam family: Bacterial small subunit ribosomal RNA
Source: RNAcentral